GGAGACCCUGCUGUAAAUCAAGAAGACAACAACAGAUGAUCAACAUCAAUUUGGACCAUGCCUCAGGACUACCUGGCAUGAUGACUCCUUGCUGUCCCCAGUCCACCUGGCUGUGCUGCUGCUCCAGUUUCAACUGUUCUGCCUGUGGCUAUGGAACCCUGACCUGUUCACCGGACGUGCUACAUGUCCCAGACCUGCUGUUUUCAACUCCCUAGAGACAGCAGGAGCGGUAGAGAUACUCUCAAUGAUCGGCUAUGAAAAGUCAACUGACAUUUACUCCUGAGGUUCUGACCUGUUGCACCCUCGAAAACUACUGUGAUUAUUAUUAUUUGACCAUGCUGGUCAUUUAUGAACAUUUGAACAUAUUGGCCAUGUUCUUUUAUAAUCUCCACCAGCACAGCCAGAAGAGGACUGGCCACCCCUCAUAGCCUAAUUCCUCUCUAGAUUUCUUCCCAGGUUUCCUAGCCACCGUGCUUCUACACCUGCAUUUCUUGCUGUUUGAGGUUUUAGGCUGGGUUUCUUUACAGCACUUUGAGAUAUCAGCUGAUCUAAGAAGGACUUUAUAAAUACAUUGAUUGAUUGUGAUAUCGCAUCCACUAUCACAACAGCUGUUCGCCACUUGAUUAUCAUUCAGAAAAUGAAUUCCUGGAUCAGAUGAUAGUGUGAAAAUAUCACAGCAUAAUUAAACAGCUUAAAACCCAAUGAGCAUCCAUCAAGAAUGAUGCAUAAUUAUUAAAAGAACCACGUUAAUUACAGUAUCAAUUGAUGUUUUAAGUAUCAAGGUACGGUGACUGUUUUGGUUAGAAGCAUUAGAUUUUGCAAUGGCAUGAAUUUAUGGGGAUUUGUGCCUAUGAAAACAAUUUUCACCCCAUAACAAAAGGAGACGCACAAUGUUACGUAGUUACACUGCAUUUCGGAGAUCUUUGUACAAAAAACUGUCAGACAGCAAGAUCCAGGAUUCUUACAAGGUUCAAGUUCAGUCUAAAUUACCUGAUUAAUGCUUAAUAUAUGAUAUAACAACAAUGUACACUGCCAUAAAUGCAAUAACAGAAAAAGUCAUGUUUUAUCUCAAACAAUUUUAUACAAAUCCAUCAAGAUACCAACCACGAGAAAGGGUUAAAUAUAUAUUUUUCUCCAUACACACCCCAUAAUGACAAAGUGAAAAUAUGUUUCUAGAAACUUUAGCACAUUUAUUGAAAAUUGAAUACAGAAAUAUCUCAUUUACAUAACUAUUCACACGCCUGCAUCAAUGCAUGUUAGAAUUAGAUUUGGCAGCGAUUACAGCUGUGAGUCUUUCUGGGUAAGUCUCUAAGAGCCCUGCACACCUGGAUUGUACAAUAUUUGCACAAUAUUCUUUAAAACAUUAUUUAAGCUCUGUCAAGUUGGUAGCUAAUCAUUGCUAGACAGCCUUUUUCAUGUCUUGCCAUAGAUUUUCAAGCAGAUUUAAGUCAAAACUGUAACUCUGCCACUCAGGAACAUUCAAUGUCAUCUUGGUAAGCAACUCCAGUGUAUAUUUGGCCUUGUGUUUUAGGUUAUUGUUCUGCUGAAAGGUGAAUUUGUCUGUUGGAAAGCAGACUGAGCCAGGUUUUCCUCUAGGAUUGUGCCUGUCCUUAGCUCCAUUACGCUUAAUUUUUUGUCUUGAAAAACUCCCUAGUCCUUUCCGAUAAAAAGCAUACCGAUAACCACCACCAAGAUGUAGCCACCACCAUGGUAUUCAGUAAAGUGUUGUGUUGGAUUUGCUCCAACAUUACGCUUUGUAUUCAUUUCCUUGCCACAUUGUUUUGCAGUUUUAGUGCCUUAUUGCAAACAGGAUGCAUGUUUUGGAAUAUUUUUUUAUUCUGUACAGGCUUCCUUCUUUUCACUCUGUCAGGUUAGUAUUUUGGAGUAACUACAAUGUUGUUGAUCCAUCCCCAAUUUUCUCCUAUCACAGCCAUUAAACCCUGUAACUGUUUCAAAGUCACCAUUGGCCUCAUGGUGAAAUCCCUGAGCGGUUUCCUUCCUCUCCGGCAGCUGAGUUAGGAAGGAUGCUUGUAUCUUUGUAGUCACUGAGUGUAUUGAUACACCAUCCAAAGUGCAAGUUCAUUAAUAACAUCACCAUGCUCAAAGGGAUAUUCAAUGUCUGCAUUUUAUUUUAUUUUCCAAUCUACCGAUAGGUGCCCUUCUUUGUGAGGCGUUGGAAAACCUCCCUGGUCCUUGUGGUUGCAAUCUGUGUUUGAAUUUCAAACUUACAGAAAAUUGCAUGUGUGGAGUACAGAAAUGCGGUAGUCAUUAAAAAAUCAUGUUAAACACUA
This is a long non-coding RNA of Oncorhynchus keta (chum salmon), 2291 nucleotides long. RefSeq lists it as uncharacterized. The transcript has 2 exons. The record is from RefSeq and is a predicted model, not a curated record. NCBI's taxonomy places the organism in Eukaryota, Metazoa, Chordata, Actinopteri, Salmoniformes, Salmonidae.